Molecule: ribosomal RNA, 868 nt
Filed under: uncultured archaeon
Lineage: Archaea
Description: bacterial SSU rRNA
Rfam family: Archaeal small subunit ribosomal RNA
Source: RNAcentral
CUCCGGUUGAUCCCGCCGGACCCGACUGCUAUCAGAGUGGGACUAAGCCAUGCGAGUCGACGUAGCAAUGCGUGGCGAACGGCUCAGUAACACGUAGUCAACAUGCCCAGGGGACGUGGAUAACCUCGGGAAACUGAGAAUAAACCACGAUAGGUCAUGAUUUCUGGAAUGGAUCAUGGCUCAAAUCUACAUGGCCCCUGGAUUGGACUGCGGCCGAUCAGGCAGUUGGUGAGGUAAAGGCCCACCAAACCUAUAACCGGUACGGGCUCUGAGAGGAGAAGCCCGGAGAUGGGCACUGAGACAAGGGCCCAGGCCCUAUGGGGCGCAGCAGGCGCGAAACCUCUGCAAUAGGCGAAAGCCUGACAGGGUUACUCUGAGUGAUUUCCGCUAAGGGGAUCUUUUGGCACCUCUAAAAAUGGUGCAGAAUAAGGGGUGGGCAAGUCUGGUGUCAGCCGCCGCGGUAAUACCAGCACCCCGAGUGGUCGGGACGAUUAUUGGGCCUAAAGCAUCCGUAGCCGGUUCUGCAAGUCUUCCGUUAAAUCCAGCCGCUCAACGGAUGGGCCGCGGAGGAUACUACAGGACUAGGAGGCGGGAGAGGCAAGCGGUACUCAGUGGGUAGGGGUAAAAUCCUUUGAUCCAUUGAAGACCACCAGUGGCGAAGGCGGCUUGCCAGAACGCGCUCGACGGUGAGGGAUGAAAGCUGGGGGAGCAAACCGGAUUAGAUACCCGGGUAGUCCCAGCUGUAAACGAUGCAGACUCGGUGAUGGGCUAGCCUUGUGCCAGCCCAGUGCCGCAGGGAAGCCGUUAAGUCUGCCGCCUGGGGAGUACGGUCGCAAGACUGAAACUUAAAGGAAUUGGCGGGGGAGCC